This 468-nucleotide ribosomal RNA is filed under the name uncultured bacterium. RNAcentral's name for it is "partial 16S ribosomal RNA". It matches the Rfam family "Bacterial small subunit ribosomal RNA", at positions 28 to 507 of the family's 1533-position model. The record is from RNAcentral.
GACGAACGCUGGCGGCGUGCUUAACACAUGCCAGUCGAACGGAAAGGCCCUGCUUUUGUGGGGUGCUCGAGUGGCGAACGGGUGAGUAACACGUGAGUAACCUGCCCUUGACUUUGGGAUAACUUCAGGAAACUGGGGCUAAUACCGGAUAGGAGCUCCUGCUGCAUGGUGGGGGUUGGAAAGUUUCGGCGGUUGGGGAUGGACUCGCGGCUUAUCAGCUUGUUGGUGGGGUAGUGGCUUACCAAGGCUUUGACGGGUAGCCGGCCUGAGAGGGUGACCGGGCACAUUGGGACUGAGAGAGGGCCCAGACUCCUACGGGAGGCAGCAGUGGGGAAUAUUGCACAAUGGGCGGAAGCCUGAGGCAGCAACGCCGCGUGCGGGAUGACGGCCUUCGGGUUGUAAACCGCUUUCGCCUGUGACGAAGCGUGAGUGACGGUAAUGGGUAAAGAAGCACCGGCUAACUACGUG